AUUACAUCAAUGAUAUGUUUGAUUGCUUGGUUUGGACAUACCGAUUCUAGAGCAGUGUCAAUAUAUAGUGCAGAGGUAGGGGAUACUGUUAAACUAUCUUGUCCAGGGAGGUCCAAAAAUUCUGUAACAUGGUACGGUCCUCCAAACUAUAUGCCCUAUAGAAUAGACGGAAAAAUAAACCCUACACUAAUCGACAAAAAUAUCGCAAUGGUUGGGAAUCAUAGUAACGGAGAAUAUAACUUAGAAAUUAUCAAGGUGUCGUUCUCAAACAAAGGAAAUUACAGAUGUAGAUUAUUAAACAGUAGACCAGUCGAAUAUGAGAUAUUGCUAAUAGUUAAAGAUAAACCAACAGUUGUUAAAGAAAUAACAGAAAAACAUACAUCAUAUGAUAACCAUGAAGAAACAACAACUCCUAACAAUUUAGCUCUCAGCUCUUGGC
Long non-coding RNA from Mytilus californianus (California mussel), 439 nucleotides. RefSeq lists it as uncharacterized. The record is from RefSeq and is a predicted model, not a curated record. The transcript has 3 exons. Lineage: Eukaryota; Metazoa; Mollusca; Bivalvia; Mytilida; Mytilidae.